Hylaeus volcanicus is the source of this 1217-nucleotide long non-coding RNA. RefSeq lists it as uncharacterized. The record is from RefSeq and is a predicted model, not a curated record. The transcript has 3 exons. Lineage: Eukaryota; Metazoa; Arthropoda; Insecta; Hymenoptera; Colletidae.
CGAAACAUGUUCUUUACGAAACAAAUUGUUCUCAUCUUUCCAAAUACAGUGUUGUUACAUUUCCAAAAUUAAAAAAAAAAAAAUUUUUAAACCAAAAAAAUAACUCCUUUUUCAUGUGUCGUAAUAUACCACCAUUUUUCGUGUAUGCUUUAAGAAACGAAUACAAAACAUGAAGAAGCAUAGACUGAUUUCAACUGUGUCUAAAUCUGUUUCUUCUUCGCUAGAGAAAAGACAUGACGUACAGAAUGCGUUAGCACUCUAUUUACCAUUAAAACUUCAUCAUGCUUGCUAAUGUGUACCAUACAGGAUUUGUAUCAAUUUUCUAUUCAGGUCAAACACAUUGUUUGCAAAUAUGGAAACGUCAUCUAGGGGAGGGUUCUAUAUGUAACAUUACUGAAGAUGAUGUGGUCAAUUGUAACGUAUUAGAGUUAGCAUCCGAUGAACUUUCAUCCACUUUUAUUACUUGCCCUCCGCAACCGAAUUCGAGCUUAGGGAUAAAACUUCCGUUUUUAGUAUUUCUUGUUAAAAAUAUAGAGAAAUAUUUCACAUUUGAAGUACAUGUUUUUGAUGACCAGCAAAAAAAGCUUCGUUUUCGUUCCUCAAAUUUUCAAUAUACAGCUCGGAUAACGCCAGACAUUUGUACUUUACCUUUAAGGCUUGAAAAGGGAUGGAACAAAAUUCAAAUUAAUUUACCCGAAUUAGUUAGAAAAGCCUACGGUACAACUUUUGUUGAGACGAUUUGCGUCCAACUACAUCCCAAUUGUCGCUUACUUCGAAUCUAUUUUUCCGAUAAGCUUUAUGAUGAAACACAGCUUCCUAUGGAAUUAAAAUUGUAUCAACGAGAGAACAGAUAAACAAUUGAAAAAUCUUGCUUGUUUUCUGAUUGCUUGAAAAAUAUGACUUUUGUAAUGCUUUGAAAAAAUUACAAUAGUUACCGUCUUCUUUUCAAAAGUUAAAGACUCAAUGCUGAACCACCUUAGCACAAAUUAUCCUUUUAAUAAUGAAAUGCUUUUUUUUUCCACAAACGACAAAGUAAAUUACCACAUUUGAAAAAAAUUUUUACAAAAAAAAAUAUUUUAUCAAAAAAGUGUAAAACUUUGCAGUCUUAAGUACAGUCGUUGAUUCCUUUUUAGUGUUAAAACUCCAAAAGGUUUCAGAUUUUUUUCUGGAUUGUAAGGUUUAUAAAUGUGAACUUGUAACAAAAAACUUUUAUUAGU